GAAUUUCUCACCACUUCUCUAUGCAUUGCAUUCCCUCCAUUAUCAAUCAUGAUUGGGUAAUGGAUUUUCUGCACUUGAUGAGUCACCAAACUUGACAAAACCCAUGUCGAUGAGUCUUUCAAGUUGCUUCCUAAAGGCAGUGCAAUUCUCAAUCGAGUGUCCUGUAAUUCCCGCAUGGUAUUCACAUUGUACGUUCGCA
Molecule: long non-coding RNA, 199 nt
Filed under: Gossypium raimondii (Peruvian cotton)
Lineage: Eukaryota; Viridiplantae; Streptophyta; Magnoliopsida; Malvales; Malvaceae
Description: long non-coding RNA (GRAI_LNC010139)
Source: RNAcentral